RNAcentral lists this unclassified non-coding RNA (252 nucleotides) under Hevea brasiliensis (rubber tree). The record is from RNAcentral. Lineage: Eukaryota; Viridiplantae; Streptophyta; Magnoliopsida; Malpighiales; Euphorbiaceae.
GACGCAAUGUAUCAUACAAGAAAGUAGACAGAGGAUCAACCAAUGGAGCCAAACCAGAAACAUCCUCUGAGGAAGAUGGGAAAAAGUGAUCAAAGAGUUGGUGCUCAAGCUGACAAACCUGCAUUAGAUAUGCACAUNAGUCAAUGAUGGCAAGGCCUCUUUCUUGGCAAACUCAGAUAUUCGUUGAAGUACAAUGCCUUUUACCAAAGAAAGCCGCUGUUCACAGUACAAUUUGUGGCAUUCUUCAAGAAC